RNAcentral lists this unclassified non-coding RNA (508 nucleotides) under Hevea brasiliensis (rubber tree). The record is from RNAcentral. Lineage: Eukaryota; Viridiplantae; Streptophyta; Magnoliopsida; Malpighiales; Euphorbiaceae.
GGUUACCGUUGGCUAGCCCCAGAGGUCAGUAGUAUAUCCCUUGGUCACAAUUUUCCAAAUUAAUAAUGGUAAAAGAUGUCUAGGUUGAUCAUGAAUCGAUUAAACAUCUCUUUGCUACAACUUCAAACCUAGAAAUUUUGGAGUUCAGCAUGCAUUAUCAGCGUUACCUUACUCCCUAAGGACAUUGAAAGUACUCAAUUUUGUUUUGCAUGCCAAUAGGGAAAAUUUAUAUUAUGCUUUCGUGGAUUUGAAAAUGAGAUUGGAAUUAUUCUUAAAUUAUAUCAUUUCUAUCUUGGAAUAACCUUUCUUUUUUUCCUUGUGGCCAAAUGCCUCAUGGGAAACUUUGCUCAUUGUCUUGCUAUGAUGUGGACUGUGGUCGGAGAAAAUUUGGUUUUGUAGGGUAUGGUUAUUAUAGGUUAGAGGUUAUACGUAGAUGUUGCAUUGUUUGUGUAACUGGAUUUUAAUUAUUUGGCUUACUUAUUAAACACUGUUACCUGUCAAACAGCAG